Molecule: long non-coding RNA, 515 nt
Filed under: Vigna radiata
Lineage: Eukaryota; Viridiplantae; Streptophyta; Magnoliopsida; Fabales; Fabaceae
Description: long non-coding RNA (VRAD_LNC018106)
Source: RNAcentral
GGUGGAGAUACUUUGAAUGCUUGCAAAUGCUUCUUGAAUGAUGACGGAUGCUCCUCAAAUGUAGUGCUCUCACCAAAAACCCCAAACUUUGUCAAUGGAAUGGUGCAAAGGUGAUGAACAAAUGAUUUUUGGUGAGUGGGUGAUGGGAAAAGUACAAAGAAACCCUUGAAAAGAUUUUAGGAGUGCAAGAAAAGUGUGAAGUCUUGAAAAUGACGCUUGGGCGAGCCCUAAGGAGUGUUUAAAAAGUGCAGAUGGGCCUCCUACGUUGAGCUAUUUAAAAAGCCCAAAACUGCCUCUACGACGCCACCGCUCAGCGCUGGGUUACUGCUGAGCGGUAGGCGCGAUUUAAAAUCUUUCACCCUUUUUGCUUGCCUGAGCGUUUUGUGACCUGCAACACUUAAUUUCAACUCUCAAUUCACAAUUUUUAUGCAACCUCCUCUCUCAUGCAACAAUCAAAUCCUAAAAUGCAAUUAAAAUAGAGUUAAAAAUAAAUAACAAUCAACUGGGUGGCCUCC